AGAUUAAAUAUGUUUUAAAGACAUGUGUUUGGGUGUGAAAGUCACAGGGUGUGAAAUUUGAUCAUUAACCUUUACUGCUCAACAAACAGGUUAUCCUAGCAGUUUAUGAAAACAUGCUUCUAGAAUUGUGUGGAUGGGUCAUGGAAUUGUGACCUUCAGUAAUUUUUGUGGGCUCUGACACCUCCCCUUCUGGUACUGUUCCCUAGUUCUGCCUCCUGACCACCAUGAACUGAGCAGCUCUGUGCCUCCAAGACCUCCCAUGAUGUUUCUGCCUUGGAACCAGCCUAUUAUAGACUGAAAUCCUGAGUUUUCCUUGCAGUUGUGGUUGUUGUAGCAGCAACAUGACAAGCAAGUGGAAGAGGGCCUUGCUGUGAGGAUCUUCACCAGGUCACAGGAGGAGACGCAUCCUGUCAGCAAAGGGAGCAGCUCAAAAUCUGCCAGAAAUCAAGGUGAG
RNAcentral lists this long non-coding RNA (454 nucleotides) under Fukomys damarensis (Damara mole-rat). RNAcentral's name for it is "lncRNA (ENSFDAG00000022685.1)". Lineage: Eukaryota; Metazoa; Chordata; Mammalia; Rodentia; Bathyergidae. The record is from RNAcentral.